UUUUUUUUUAACCUCUUACCCUCUCUAAUAAGCUGCAUGCAGGUUGUUGCAUCUCAAGACUGGCCAGAAGUUACAAAGUAUGCUGGAUUGGUGUGUGCUCAGGCUCAUCGGCAAGAGCUCAUUCAAGAUCUUUACAAGACAUGGCAUGAUCCUCAAAGAGGCACCGUAACAGGAGGCAUGAUCAGGUCUUUUUUGAGGAACAAUUUGUUCUUCCAACCAAAAUUAAUUGAUGAAGCCUCCUAUUAAAUAGUUUAGGGUUACCUCCUACCGAUUAACUUAUUUUUGGUUCUGGUCUUGUUGUGUAGGGAGCUCUUAAUAUCCUUCAGGAAGGCCACUGGGCAAAAGCCAUUGAGAAUAAUUUUCUACAGGUAUGCUACUGCAAAUACUGUUUAUAAACUAACGUUUGUAGAGUACAGUAGUUAGAUAUUUGUGGAAUCAAUUUAAUCCUAUGUAUCUUCAACAAGUACUGAACCUAGUGUUUUUGUUCGCUAUUUGAAGUAUGAAAGUUGCUGUUAUAGGCUUCUAUUUGUAUAUCUGCUAAUAGUAUCGGUACUGCUUCUCUUCUAGGGAUGGUGUCAGUGAAGGCCAAUUCUACCAAGUUCUCCUCUAUGAGUUGGAUGCUAUCCGCAAGGUUAGAUGCAUUUGUAUUUUCUUUACUCAGAUAUUUUGUCCACUUUAUUAGGUUGCCUGACGAAAUGUUUUCUUUUAGGCAUGUGCAUCUCUAGAACCAAAUUAUCAGCCUCCUGUAACAUUCGUGGUUGUCCAAAAGCGUCACCAUACAAGACUCUUCGCAAACAAUCACAAAGACAGAAGUAGCACGGACAAAAGUGGAAACAUUUUGCCUGGUAAUUACUAUUCAUCACCUCUUAAGGCAUUUCAUUGGAUCUACUGCAGAUGAUAAUGCAACCAACAUAUUGCAAAAAUAUUUUUUUUAUUUUAACUAAAACCCUCAGUUUGUUGGUAGAACUGUUUCAGUGAUUUGAUACUUGUUUUCCUAUUCAUGAUAUCACAUUCACAACUGUUUUUCUUGGAUUAUUAAGGUAUCACUUUGGGUGAACUAACUUUUAUAUUUACUGUUAUUCACUUGAUUUCUGUAAUUGCUCAUGUGUUUGCUAAAAAACAGGAACUGUUGUUGAUUCAAAGAUCUGCCACCCAUCAGAGUUUGAUUUCUACCUCUGUAGCCAUGCUGGAAUUCAGGUAAGAAUAUUGUAGUGGUCCUUUUGUAAGGCUGACAUAUACUGAACUUGUCGUUACUCUGGUCCCCAUGUCUUCUGUGAUUAAGUAUUUGAGGAGACUUCAUAUUGUCUUUUCAACCACAAGCAGUGUAGUACUUCCUCCGUCCCAAAAUGUAAGCAUUUUUGAGGUUGGUACGGGUAUUAAGAAAGUAGGUGAGAAUGAUUGAAGAAGGUGUGUGAUUGAUUGAAAAGAGAAAGUAGGUGAAAAAGAAUGAUUGUGAUUGGUUGAGAGGAGAAGGUAGGUAGAAAAAUAGCUUCAUUUUGAGACAAAUUACUGUGCUAGAAAUAGCUACAUUUUGAGACAGAGGUAGUAGUAUCACAGUAGCUAGUUACUGUAGUACCUAGCAAAGGGCACAUCUGCACAUGCUAGAACAAACAAACUUACUAUACCAUGGUCAAAUUUUUAAUCAUGUGAUUGUACAUUAUAGUACUUGGAUCAGCAAAUAUUCUGUCUGUAGUAGCGCUGGAAUAUAAUUCCCCAAGUUUGUCCUCCAUGUACUGAAAUGACUGAUGUGUGUGAGUUUUCCAGGGAACAAGUAGGCCAGCUCACUACCACGUCCUUUGGGAUGAGAACAAUUUCACUGCAGACGAAAUGCAGACAUUGACAAACAACCUUUGCUACACGUACGGCAUUACUGAAUCUUGUUAAGUUUAUCCUUUGCACUCUGAGCUUCUCUCUAUAGAAAUUGUCUGACUUGGUACAUUUGCUGAUGCAGUUAUGCACGGUGCACACGCUCUGUUUCUGUUGGUACGUUCUUCUGAAAUGAUCUGAACAUUUUUCCAUCAUUUUCUUUGUAUUCAUGUGUUAUUAUUAGUUGGACACGAAUUCUGAAGGUGAAUCUUGCAUUUCUUUUUUCCUGGUCCAACAGUUCCACCUGCAUACUAUGCGCAUCUGGCUGCGUUUCGAGCGCGGUUCUACAUGGAGCCAGAGAUGUCGGAGAACCAGACGACGUCGAAGAGCUCCACUGGGACGAACGGAACCUCGGUGAAGCCAUUGCCUGCGGUGAAGGAGAAGGUGAAGAGGGUGAUGUUCUACUGUUGAUGACUGGGAGACUACCUUUAACUACUCACAUAUGAUGUACCUAACAUUGUAGAAUUUUAGUGGUAGGGAUUUAGAAUUAGCUUCCUUCAGGAAAGGGAGCAGAGCAAGCAUUUGGAUCCUGAGCGACCUCUUUUGACCACUCUGUAAAGUACUAAGUAACGCAUGUAUAAUAGUUGUUGUAUCAGUCUGAAAAAAAGGAAGUGCACUCAGUGCUUGUUUUUCCAGUUCUAGGAUGAUUUUCUCUUCAUGGUUAAGAUCUGGUAAGAGACUCAAUACACGAAUCCAUUAUCAGGAUAACACCAACAAUUUUCACUUAUAGAACAUAUUCGAAAAUUUCUGAGAAUAGGCUAAUAAUUCUCAAAAUAAAAAUAAAAAUAACCUGCAGGAUGAGCAUCAUUCGUUGCUGCCAUUAAGGACAGUAACUAAGGAUAUAAUGCUGAAUAUACGAAUCUAGUUAAGACGGCCUGAAGCAGGUCCACAGAACCCGACUUAAAAUCAUUGUUAGUUCAGAUUCCGGGCCACAUUGUAUUUUUACUGUGACUUGCAGAUGAACCUUCUUCCAUAAAUAAAUAUUGCAUUCACUUCAAAGUGAUGUUUUAUGUGUUAGUGAGUUUUGAGUGGAUAUGCUGAAUACAUCAACAAGAGCAAACUGAAAAUCCAAGUAUAGCAUUUUUAACAAGCUGACAAAUGACAGAAUCAUGCUGCGAUGAUAAUGUUCGUCCAUCCAUUGUUAAGAAGUUAUGGUUGCACAUUAGAUAUAAUCAUCUGCACUGAUAGGCAUAGGCAACAACAGAAAAAAAAAUACUACUGGCAUUGGUGUCUAACCUUGUUUUUUCAUCUGCAGAACCGUGUUCCAUUUCCUGGCAAGAGUAAAAAAAAUCCAGCUCUGCUACAAGCCUGAAACAAGCUAGCUGAAGUUCAGUAGUCCUCAAAUUAACUAACUGUACAAGCCUGAUCACUCGAAUGUCUGUUCAGACAAGGUUCUUCAAAAUUGCUAAUGAAACGGCUUCCAGUGAUUGAUCAUGCUUCUGUUGGUCCAGUCAAACUAAUGGAUGCUUCAACAAUUCCUUUGUCCAAGCAUUAUAUGCUUCAACAACUCCUCAGUACCCCUUCACCUCAAUCAAGCUACACCCUGCAUUCUUCUUGACAGUAGGGUGUGCCAUCUUGCCCCGUACCCUUAUCACAUCCUCCCAUCUACUUGCUGUUGCAUAUACAUUAGACAUGAGCAAAUUCACAUCAGUAAUUUGGGAAUCUUGCUCACAGAUUCGUUUGGUUAACCGUUCACUCAUCUCAACAUUCCCAUGAGCCUUGCAAGCAGUGAGGAGUGCACCAAACAGUGGCAUAGCAUCCUUGUUAAUUGGAACGUCACCGAUCAACCUCUCAGCUUCAUCUAGUAGACCAGCACGACCUAGGAGGUUCACAAGGCAGCUAUAGUGUUCAACUCUUGGUUCUAUCUGAUAAACCUCCCUCAUUGCAUGGAACUGCUUCCGGCCUUCAUCAACCAAGCCACCAUGGCAGCAUGCACUUAGCACCCCAAUAAACGUAACACCGUCGGGCUUAACUUUACUUCUCUGCAUAUCUUGAAACAGUUCAAGAGCUCUACCAGCCUGACCAUUUGUGGCCAGCCCACAGAUGAUGGCAGUCCAAGCUGUGGCAUCUCUGCCUUGCAUUCGCCAGAAGACCUCUAGAGACUUCUCAAUGUGCCCACAUUUAGAAUACAUGUCAAUCAAUGCGGUGCCUAGGACUGCAUCGAUCUUCAUUUUCCUUUGUUCAGCAUACUGGUGAAUCCAUUCACCUUGAUCAAGAGCGCCAAGAUUGGCACAGCAUGUCAGGAGAGUGACAACAGUGAACCUGUCUGGCUCAACCCGUUGCAUCUGCAUAUCUCGGAACAAUGUCAGCGCCUCCUCGAAGCAUCCGUGUUGCACACACGCAUUGAUCAUUGCAGUCCACAGAAUUAGAUCCUUCUCUUUGCACUGGUUGAAGAGCACUCUGGCCUUGUCCAGCUGCCCAGCAAGGCCAUAUCCCGACACAAGUAUGGUCCAAGAAAUUAUGUUCCUCGCAGGCAUUUGCUCGAACAAUUUCACCGCCUCUUCCAAGCAAUCAUUCUUCGUGUACAUGUCCAGCAGAGCAUUUGCAACUGGCAGAUUGAAACCGAAGACGUUAUCCAUGUACACAUGAAUCCUCCUUCCCAAGCUCAGGUCCCUUGCUCUAGAGCACGCCGUCACCGCCGUCACCAACGUCACCCUGUCAGGUGUGACACCGCUUCUCUCCAUCUGUUCAGACAAAGCAACUGCCGCCGAGUACCACCCGCACCUGAUGUAGCACCUGACCAUCAUGUUCCACAGCACCAGCGCCCUACUCGGCAUUUCGUCGAACACCUUCCGCGCGAUGUCCACGCGCCCCAGCAUCGUGUACAUCUCCAUCAGCGAGCUCCCGGUGUAGGCGUCCCACCGGAACCCGGUCUUGACAGCGGCCGCGUGCGCCUUGCGCCCCUCGACCGACAGCUUGAGGACCCCGACGGCCCUGAGCACGAACGGGUAGGUGAAGCUGUCCGCCACGAGUCCCCGCGCGCGGAGGUCGUAGUACACCGCCAUGACGCGCGCGAAGCUCCCCCGCCUCGCCAGCGUCCUGAUCAGCACGUUGCACUCCCAGAGCGGCAUCCCGUGGCCCCUCCUCGCCGCCGCCAUUGCCAUCGCGCGGGGUGGGUGGCGGCGACGCGACGCGGCCAAGACGUGGGGGGGGAAUCUUUUCCUAUAUAGAGAGCGGAAAGUCACAGCCUCACGGGAGAGAAGGGUAGGUGUUUGUGUGUGUGCCUCUCUCUCGAGUCUCGAGAUGGUGGGGAAGCGAGUGGCGGUGGUGGUGGGAGGGAGCGUGGCGGGGCUGGCAUGCGCGCACGCGGUGGCGGAGGCGGGGUGGGAGGCGGUGGUGGUGGAGAAGGCGGCGGCGCCGGGGGCCGGGAGCGGCACGGGCGCCGGGCUGGGGCUCGACGCGCAGUCCAUGGAGACGCUCGCCCGCUGGAUCCCCGGGCGCCUCGACGCCGCCACGCUGCCGCUCGCCGUCGACCUGGUAAGCUAAGCUCCCCCCUGUAAAUCCGCCGGCCUCCUCCUCCUCCCUUCCCCUUGCCUUGACCCACCCGUGAGCGCGGCGCGCGCGCAGAACAGGGCGACGGACGGCGAGACGAAGGCGGGGAGGACGCUGACGAGGGACGAGGGGUUCGGCUUCAGGGCGGCGCACUGGGGCGACCUGCACCGGCGGCUGCACGAGGCGCUGCCGGCCGGCGUGACCGUGCUCUGGGGCCACCAGUUCGUGUCGUUCGAGAUGGCGCCGGAAGGGGACGGAGAUGGCGGGGUCGUGGUGACGGCCCGCGUGCUGCGCACCGGGGAGACGGUGGAGGUCGCCGGGGAUUUGCUCGUCGCGGCGGAUGGCUGCACGUCGGCGAUCCGCCGGCGAUUCCUCCCCGAACUCAAGCUGAGGUCAGCCAGAGGUUCUAGACUACUGAAUUGUUUACUGGUAGUAGUAUUAUUGUUUAGUCGCAUGAUUUUUUUUUUCAAUUUAGCUGCUCCCUCCGAUUUUGAAUAACACUCGCACCUUCUCCACCUCCUCGAGUUGGGUACUACUACUAAUUAUCGUGCCAUAUAAUUUUCUUACAACUCUAAUUGGGAAUAUAAAAAUAUGAAACAUACUUAGCAGAGUGAAUCCAAGCCCGGCCUGAGACCCACGUGCCCACGCUCGACUCACGCCGCAAAGUCUAUUGGACAAAACCCCAUGUCGGCAUGCCCGAUGGGUUCGCGUUGCCAGCCACCUCCUAGUCCCGUGUGCUGCCACGUCGCUAGCCAUCACCGCACCGCCAGCCGUCGCUUGCGCCCUUGCACCUCCACGUCAUGUGGCCAAGCUCCCUUCCCGUGCACCACCGCCGCCGCCUAGUGUAGACACUGGAGAAGAGUAGAAGACUGAGGGAGUGAGAGAUAGCAGUGAGGAGUAUAAGGUUUGUGAUUUGGGGAUUUCUAUGCUAGGGUUUCAUUUAGUGAAUAUAUAUAUUGCAUACAAAGGGGUCAAAUGGACUAUUAGGCCAUGUGAGGAGAUAAAACUAUUUAAGGCCUGAAAAAUAUAUAUGGGCUAAAAAAUUUUCAGGUCGGGCAUGGUUUACCCACAGGAAAAACCCGCGCGCGCCUACUAAGUUCGCGGGUAUCGGAUCGGGCGUGCCCACAGGCAAAAAAAAAAAAAGUUAUCCGCGGAUACCCAAACCUAUGAGCAAUACUGCCAUUCCUAAGAUUUUGGGUGUGUUUGAGAGAAGAGAUUUUUUUAAAAAAGUAUAUAAAAUGGGAUGAGCCAUUAUCAUAUGAUUAAUUAAGUAUUAAUUUUUUAAAACUUAAAAAAUAGGUUAAUAUAUUUUUUUUUAAAAAAUAACUUUUUAAAAUUAUCUUUUUUAAAAAAACGUAUGAUUUAGUGGUUCGGAAAACGUAACGAGGGAUUUCUUCUCUCUUUCAUCCUAAGGAACAGCCUUAGUGAUAUUAAGGAUUUACGAUUGCCUUUCAUCUCUUUCAACGUGUGUUUUCGGGCGCAUUCGUGGACGAUAGUGUGGUGCAUGAGUCGUGAUGGUGUGUGCGUGUGUUUUUCUUCCAUUAAUGAAAGGAAAAUAUUAGCUGAGUUUUUCAGUAUUUCAAUAUAAUAUCAUGUCAAAAUGGGCAAACUUAGCUAAGAUUGUUUUCGAUUUUCUGAUUAUUUUUCAAUAAUGUAGGUACUCUGGAUACUGUGCAUGGCGUGGCGUCUUCGAUUUCUCCGGGAAGGAGGGGUGCACCACCAUGGUCGACAUCCGGAGGGCCUACCCAGAGCUCGGCAACUGCCUCUACUUCGACCUGGCAUACAAGACGCACGCUGUGCUCUACGAGCUGCCCAAGAACCGGCUCAACUGGCUCUGGUACAUCAAUGGCGAUGAACCAGAGCUCAUGGUAAUUGUCAAUCGAUGAGAAAUAAAUCAGUGUGUUUAUCCCUCCUUUUCCGAUGUGAUUUGGUUCCGUUUGGUGUUGCAGGGGAGCUCGGUGACGAUGAAGGUGAACGAGGCCACGGUGAGCGAGAUGAAGGAGGAAGCCGAGCGCGUGUGGUGCCCCGAGCUGGCGCGGCUGAUCGGCGAGACGGCGGAGCCGUUCGUGAACGUGAUCUACGACGCCGAGCCGCUGCCCGGGCUGUCGUGGGCGGGAGGGCGGGUGGCGCUGGUCGGCGACGCGGCGCACCCGACCACCCCGCACGGGCUGAGGAGCACCAACAUGUCCAUCCUCGACGCCCGCGUGCUCGGCUGCUGCCUCGCGAGGUGGGGCGGCGAUGGCAACGCCGAGCCGACGUCGACGCCGCGGCGGGCGCUGGCCGAGUACGAGGCAGCGCGGCGGCCGGUCGUGGCGGCGCAGGUGCUGCACGCGCGCAGGCUCGGACGGCUCAAGCAGGGCCUGGGCAUGGGCAGCGCCGGGGACGGGGAGGGGUUCGACGCGAGGACGGCGACGGAGGAGGAGAUUUCGCAGCUGCGGCAGAGCAGCAUGCCGUAUUUCAGUGGCGCGCCAACCAUUGAGUGAUCUAAUAAAUGUAUUUUUGUGAAUUUUUAUAUAAAGAAAGAAAUGGCUAUCUCUAUCAUAGGUUUUCUUUACCGAAAUUUCAAAUUUUUAGCUCCUGCCCUGUUUGGAAUAAAUGAAAUCUGUACUAUUUUCAAUAAGAAGUUUGUUGUAAAUUUCACCAAAAACCGUUAAUUUAAUUUUAUUUUUCUUCUCAUAGGAACCGUUCAUUUCCGAAAAUGCUCAGGCCCGGGCAACCGGCGGGAGGUGGAGCAGGAUCAUGCGCACGUUCCCCUGGCCCCACCACAUGUCUCAAGAAAAUGUUUCACCCAGUGUACUCACAAUGUUUUACUAUAUAUAGAUCUGAUAUUAAAAUAUUCUUUUACAACAAAUUACCCACAUAUUUUGGAAACCCUUUAUUAAGGGAAUUCGUUUCAUUUUUUAUUUGCAGUGGCAUAUGUAUAGAUCUAAUGUUAUAGUGAACUGAAACAUUCUUUCGCUAUUUGCUGAAACAUUGUUUUUAUAUAAGGUGAAACAACGCCCGAUUUAAACGAAUGAAAUAUUUUCGAUCUACUUAGUGAAACAAUUCCGAUAUACUUGGUAGAGCAUCGUGCAACUGUCAACGUUUGAUGUCUCGACUACGGUAUUUGGACAGUAUGGGGAUCGUCGGUGCUAGGGUAUACGCGAGACUGAGGUAAAAGAGAUGGAGACGAUGAUUUUUAUACAGGUUCGGGCCCCUGAGCUAUCAGGUAAUAGCCCUACAUCCUGUUGGCCGGAGCCAAUGUUGCUUUUUAUUCACCAUAAUCACACCAGUACAAUAUGUGGGGUGGCCUAUCUAACUGUUGUCGACAUGGCGGUCUGAAGGUCUGACUCGUAGUCGACAACAGGGUAGCCUUCCUCCUCGAGCUCGCGCCCGACGGAAUCAGAGACAGUGCUAGAUCCCUACGGCCGGCCUCUGAAGGUACCGGAUAGGGUCGAUCCAGGCGUAUCUCUGAUGUCGAUAUCCGGCGGCUUGUCUUGGCGUAUGUAGGCUUCUAUGUUGAUUGUGUUGGGAGUUGAUUGUCUCGUGGUGGGUGUUGAUCGUCUCAUGGUGGGGGUCGAUCGUGUUGAUCGUGUUGAUCCUCCAUGGUGGGUGUGUGUCCCCCUGUCCUCCUAGGGGGCUUAUAUUUAUAUCCAUAGGUGUCCCCUUGUCCAAGUAGAACUAGGGAAACCAAUAUGAAUACAAUCCGAGUAGUCCUUGUCGUUUCCAUAUAGAACUCUGGUUGUCUUUCCUUAUCCGGAACUCCCUCCUAUAUCCGUAGGCUGUUUCCGUAUAGGACAUGGUAUGUGGUGGGUCCUGCCGAGAUUUAGUCAACUACUAUUAGGUAUGUGGUAUCCAUAACCCUGACAGUAGCCCCCGACUUCAAUGCAAAUGAACGAAUUCAUAUUCUCAAUUGCGCGCAGACUUUGGAGUAACUAUUAUCGAGCUCAUGUGAACGUUUUCGGUGAGUUCAGAUAUAACGUUAGACUUCCUUUGUCAGCUUCGUGCGGGCACCGAAAGGGUUUGUCUAAGUCAAUCUUUGAUGUUGACCGAGAAAGUACAGAGCGUACGACUAAGUUUCCCGUCUUGCUGUAAUCGAGAAUUUGGAUUAAAGUCAAGAAAUUUUAUCUCGGCGGGUACAUCAUUUCUUCAUUCCGCAUUCCUUGUCGAGAUCCAGCAAUCGUUCUCGAGCGAUCGAGAAGGCGUAGAGUCUGCGACAGAGCCUUGUCAACAUUGGUCGUACUCGCCUUAGUCGAUCUUGGUGUAGAACCAUAGAGACAUGGAGCCUUCGUCAAUGUCGAAUAUAAUUUUCCUGAAAUCAAUACUCAGAAAAGAAUAUUAGAUAGAAAUAGCCCCCAAGCGAAUGCUCAAAGGGUGACAUAUUAUAAUAUGACAGACUAAUGAAUUGAAUGUACAGACCAGUGUUUUGUAUAUGAGUGUCUUCUCUCUUACCGACUCCGAUCAGUCAGUUUGUAGAGUCAUACACUCUCCCUAGCCCCCAGCCUUGUCAUCGGAGAAUCAUUCUCGGAGGAUAAGGCUCUUGGACCCUUGACCUGCCUUGGUUGAAUAAGCACUGAUCCUAGCCCCCAGCCGUAAAGUUGGAAAAGUCAAUUUCCGAUUACACGGCUUAGUUAAUACGCACGGCGAGAACUCUUACACGACCAGAUCUUACAUGGUCUUUUGUCAUUACAGAUCUUACAUGGGCCUCCACUUACAUGGCACUCCAGCAACCGUUGGAUCUCUCCUCCCUUUCCCUUCCUUAUCUGGCUACAUUCCCAAAUUCUUGUCCCAUCGACCUAGCCGAAACCUCCCCUCUCCCCCUCCACAGCUUCCUCUGCCUCCUUGCCCUCGUCGGCGCCGCCUGCGGUGAGGCUCCACGCCUCCAUCUCGGCCGUGUCCGUUAGUUCUCUUUUUCCCUACCUCCGCGAGUUCAGCUGUUCGCCGUAGCUCCCCCUGCUACGUCCCGAGCUCCGCCGCCUCCGAUUAAACUGUUUGCGCCAUCUGGCGGCGGCCAGCAGAGUCCUCCCUCAGCUCCGCGGGUUUAGAUUACUGCGCAUUGAUAUGUGGACUUCUCUGCUUGCUUCCUGAGGUUAGUUAUGUAUAAUUUUUCCCUAAUGAUUGAAAAAUCUUUGGGACGAAAAUUUCCAAAAUUUGGCCGAAAAUUCCAAUAUGAUAUUUGGAAGUUUUGACCAAAAUUUUGGAAGUUUUCGUUCAGGGGUAUUUCUGUCAUUAUGAUAAAAAUCUAACGGAGGCUAACUAGACAAUGAUGGUAUAUUAUAGAAGUUAAGAAAAUUGUGAUGACAUAUGAGAAUUUGACAAACCCAGUGACAUAUUGUAGAACAUGGAUAAAAUCAGUGACACAUAAUGGAUUCUUUCUAUUUGUUCCCUUAACUACCUAUCUACUAUGGUGCGACAUGUUUAGAAAAAGUUAAAUCUUAUACUAUAAUUCCAUUUCUUACACAUUAAAUUAUAUAUACUUAUAAUAUAAUUUUCAAAUUAUAUAGUGCACUAUUCACAUUUUAUAUGAGAAAUAUGGAAAAGUGAUUUAUUAUCUAUUUAAUUAUGAGAGAAAAAUAUUAGUCCAAAUUAACAUAAACAUAUAGAAAAUAAAAAAACAACAAAAGAAUUACGGAAUUACUCCGCACACUAACUCUCUCUCCCUCCAUUUUCUUUUUCCCUCUAACAGUUAGUGAUCGCUAGAUCCAGCAAUAAACAACCCAGAUCUAGCAUCUCCGUUUUUUGUAAGGUUGGUUCAUGCCUCCCUAAGUCUUUGCAAGCCCAACAAUCCCAACCUCAACGACGACGAUGACAAUAGUGUGCAUGGCGAUAGGGGAGGAGAAAAGACAUGGCUAUAACUAUAGGGUGCAGCUACGCAUGCAAAGGCGGAGAGGAGAAACGGUGGUGGCUCAUAGAGAAAGAGCGCUGGUGGUGGUGCGUGGAGCUGUAGUUAGUGGUCGCGGGUGGUCUGAGAAGUUUGUUGUCGACACAAUCUCUAACUGAGUUUGUUAAUGUUUUUCUGAUAUAUGGGCCACCAGUCAUCAUAAAAAAUAGCAUAGUAAGGCCCUGUUUAGAUACCUGGCAAAAUUUUACGCCCUAUCAUAUCGAAUGUUUGGACAUAUGUAUGGAGCAUUAAAUAUAGAAAAAACUAAUUAUACAGAUUACAUGUAAAUUGCGAGACGAAUCUUCUAAGCCUAAUUGUGUCAUGAUUUGACAAUAUGGUGCUACAGUAAACAUUUGCUAAUGACAGAUUAAUUAGGCUUAAUAAAUUCGUCUCGCGGUUUACAGGUGGAUUCUAUAAUUUGUUUUAUUAUUAGACUGUGUUUAAUACUUUAAAUGUGUGUCCGUAUAUCCGAUGUAAUACGCCAAAACUUUACAUCUGGAUCUAAACACAGCCUAAAAAUAUUGAGAUAUACGUGGAAUAUCAGUAUAUGCCACUCAAUUCGCGGCCCUAUGAUCCAAUUCGUGUGUAACUUUGGAACCUGCCACGGGAGAGCGAAUUCCUUCGUUUCACUCCAUCCAUCCGUCUGCCCAUCCGUUUUACGCUCGUCCGCGACCGCCGCCGCCGCCGCCACCUCUACCACCGUACCCGAGCUCGUCCGCCGCCGUCUCCAUUAGCGUCGUCCACCAGCUCGGCCGCCGUCCCCGAGCUCGCGUCGUCCUGGUGAGCCUCUUUCUGAUUCAUCUCUCUCUCUCCCACCCCACCGGGACAAUUUCUGUCUGCAAUUUGCUCACGUUCGUUCGUUAACCCUAGCUUCUCUUCUAGAUCUGGAAGAAGCUAUUUCAGAGCCUUAACCUUAAUACAAGUAACAGUUUAUUGUUUGUUUCCCCCAAAAUUUGGGGGUUCCCAAGUUGGAUCCGCCCCCUGCUUCGUCGCAAGAGAAAUUCUCCUUUUCAUUUGAGUUUGUAGAGCUUUUCAAUGGAGUAUACAUCAAGUGAGGAUGAUGAGCUGGUUGAAGGUUACAUGGAUGUUGAGGAUGAUACAGGCACCAGCAAUACUGAUCAAGGAACAGGUCUGAUGCCUUCUGAGAUGCGUAGCAUCCUUCCCCGUCCGUCGUCUGUUGGCAACGGUCGGCUGAUGGCUGCUGAUGGGUUGGGCACAAACGAUGACCCAUGCCUAGGCAUGGAGUUUGAGUCCGAUGGAGCUGCACGGGCAUUCUACAAUGCGUAUGCGCUGCGCCUUGGGUUCGGCAUCCGCGUCGCCCGGUCGCGCAGCGAGCGGAGGAAGGGUGUUGAGCUACUUAUCAUGAAGCGUUUUGUGUGCCUGAAAGAGGGACAUCACAAGAAGAAGGAUGCCGAGCCUAGCGACAAGAAAAAGAGGAAGCGGCUCUCGAUAAGGGAUGGCUGUCCAGCGAUGAUGGAAGUGGUGAGGAGGGGUCCGGAAAAAUGGGUCAUCACAAAGUUGGUCCUGGAGCAUACUCAUGUGAUUCUUAGCCCAGACAGGGUGCGGGAGGUCCAGCUCCGUCGCCUCUCUGGAAAGUGCGCAGAGCAUGAUAAUCAAUUGCAGGAGCUGCGCCGGAAUGUGUUUGGAGAUACAGAUGCGCAAGGCCUUUUCAACUACUUGAAGAGAAUGCAGUCGGAGAACUCUGGUUUUUUCUACUCCAUACAAGUUGACAGUAAGAACUGUGUUAGCAAUGCAGUUUGGGCUGAUGCUAGAGCCAGAAUGUCAUACACAUACUUUGGGGAUGCUGUUUAUUUUGACACUACUUAUAGUAAAAAUGAGAAUAUGUUACCCUUUGCAGCUUUCACGGGUGUGAAUCACCAUGGUGAUACUGUUCCUUUUGGUUGUGCACUUGUUUUGGAUAGGACAGAAUCUUCAUAUACCUGGCUAUUUGAGACAUGGCUGACAGCAGUGGGUAGACGGUUGCCGUUUUCCUUUACAACUGAUGAAGGCAAAGCAAUUGCAUCAGCAGUUGCAAAAGUAUUUCCUCAGUGUUUCCAUCGUCUUUGUAGAUGGCGAAUUUUGUCUAGAUGCAAGAAGAAGUUGUCUGACGACUACGUGAGAUUUCCCAAUCUCCAUGAUGAGCUCAGAAGAUGCAUCAACGAGUGUUAUACUGAGGUUGCUUUUGAUAUGUUCUGGGGUACUAUUCUUGACAAAUAUGGCCUGAGGGAGAACAGUUGGUUGCGAUCAAUAUUUGAAGCAAGACACAGAUGGGUUCCUGCAUACCUGACAACAAGCUCCUUCUUUGCAGAAUUGACAUUGACCCAGAGAGGAGAAACAAUCGGUAGGUUUUUUAGGAAUAACUUCAGCACAAGAGUUCCUCUCGAUGAAUUUACCACUAAAUUUGACCAACACAUAGACAAUUUGUAUGUACAUGAAACUCAGAAAGAUCUUGGUUCAUCUCAUCCGGAACAGAUCCUGAAAACCAAUAUAGCCUUGGAAAAACAAGCAAGGAGCAUCUACACCAAUGCCGUGUUUGAAAUAUUCCAAACGGAGUUGUUUGAAGCAUUGCAGCAUUAUGCUGUUAAGGUUCAUCAGGAUGGACCUUACUCCAAGUACUAUGUUGACAGAGAUGAUCCUCCAACAAGGCACACUGUUUUCUACAAUGUUGCCGAGAAGAAGGCUUGGUGCGAUUGCUGCAGGUACGCUUUCUCAGCAAUAUUGUGCAGGCAUGUGCUUGGAGUUUUCAUCUUAGCUGGAAUCAUGGUGCUUCCGGAGACAUGCAUCGCGAAGCGAUGGACAAAGAGGGCAAAGACUGGGCCAGAAUUAAUUGGGCAUAAUCUUGAGAAUGGAAAUUGCUACAUGGAUUCUUCAACUUCAAGGUAUAAUGAUCUCAUUCAUGAUGCUAUCAAAUGUGCAGAGAAGGGAGCUGUAUCAGCAGAUAACUUCAGAGUUGCAAAGGAAAUACUCCGCAAAGCCUUCAUGGAAAUCAAGUGUCUUGGAGAAAAACUGACUGACGAUGACCUGCAGCAGGUUGACAGUAGAUAGCAGUGGUUAUCUUGUGAAGCAUUUGAGAGAUUGUUCCAGAUAUCUUUUACUAAAGGAUGGAAAUGAGGCGUAAUUUUGCUGUGCCACCAUGAGUAAAAGCAUUUGAGAGAUUGUUCCAGGUAUCUUUUAUUAAAGGAUGGAAAUGAGAUGUAAUUUUGCUGUGCCACCAUGGGCAAGCCUACCCUGUACUGACAAUGACCAAUUAACAUAUUUAACCACUGUAAAUCUAAUCCUGAUGUAUGCUGUUAGCCUGUCUGUAGAAUGCUAAUCUGACUUGUGGGAGUCAGGACUGUAAAUGUUGACUCGUUUGCCUGUGUUCCUCUUGCUGCUAUUCAUGUCAUGAUAUCACAACUCACAAAAAGUUAUGUUGGACUCGCCAUGCUUGUAGGGUUUUUUCUUCAUAAAAAGAGUUACAGACAUCGUUUCUUGUUUAUUUUGAAAAUUGAUCCAUUUGGAGUAAGCCUUUGUUGUUAAAUAUACAAAGUUUAUUGCGUUCUUUAAUGAGAAUUCGAAAUUCGGAUGAAUUCCUUCAUGCAAAAUCUUGACAUAAACCAACACAUUAGACCUUUCGUCUUGUUUGUUCGUAAUAAGCUUUCUGGUAGUAUCUGCUACCUUCCGAUUCUAUGGCUACAAAACAAAAUUUACAAAGCCCCUAUCAUGUUUAAACACGACAAAAAGAAAAUCUCCUGGCUCAAAUUUUAACACGCCGCAGAAUUCACGAAAAUUCAAAAACCAAUAAAAAAUCGCAAAAAUCCAACGGGAAAAAGGAGACGCAGGAGGAAAGGGAGAGAGAGAGAGAACAAACGGCAUCAAUGGCGGCCACAUCCCUCCUCUCCCGCCUCCUCAUCCUCCCACCACCGGCGCCGGCCGCCGCCGCCUCUCUCCGGCAGCGGAAACCCGCCGCAGCGCACUCCCUAUCCUCCAGGGGGCGGAGGCCCCGCCUCGCGGUACAGGCGGUAGCCCCCGCGGCGGCGGAGGAGGAGAAGGGCGGGCUGCCGGCGGCGGAGGCGGAGAGGCUGGCGGAGUUCCUGCGGGAGGACCUCCCCCACCUGUUCGACGACGUCGGCGUCGACCGCUCGGCGUACGACGACCGCGUCCGCUUCCGCGACCCCAUCACCCGCCACGACACCAUCGACGGCUACCUCCUCAACAUCCGCCUCCUCAAGCUCCUCUUCCGUCCCGACUUCUACCUCCACCACGUCGAGCAGGUUGAGCUGCUACCCCGCACUGCAUUUCCCAAUUUCAAUCGUAACAGAUUUGCAGCGCAUUUUGCGAAGAACUCGUGACUGGAUGGGUGGUGGGGUUUUUAGACAGGGCCGUACGAGAUCACCACGAGGUGGACCAUGGUGAUGAAGUUCGUUCUACUGCCGUGGAAGCCGGAGCUGGUCUUCACUGGCCUCUCGAUCAUGGGCGUCAACCCUCAGAAUCUCAAGUUCUGUAGCCACGUGGUUAGCAUUCUUGCUUGACACUGCAGCUUUUGGAACAUUUGUUUCUUCGAAUUAAUGUACGUUAAGAUUUUCUUUUAUUGUUCAUGAAAUGAAUUAGUGGUAUUUUAAUCCCCUGAAUCAUAUGUAUGGAUCACGUCUUACAGAGUCUACUAUAUGUUAGAACCAUAGGUCUCCUGCUUGCGACAUUCGAGACCUCUGAGAUGAAGCAUAUAUAUUAAGCAUAUGCAGCUUAGAAGUUAAAGUCUUAAAAGAGUACGGUUUCUUUUAUCAAGAGCAUUAGUAAGCAGUCAGUCUGGAGUAAGAUUUCGAGAGAUGAGAUCAGGGAGUUCCUGACAAAGCUUUCAGACAAGCUUUAGUUGCAUACUUAUGUUUAGCUAUGUCAAAUAACUUUUUAUUGUUGCAAUUCUCCACCGGAUACAGUUCCUCCUAUAAUGCAAUGCUUCAUAGUCCUAAUUCAAUUUGAUACUAAAUUUUAGCUUUUCAGGAAGCUUGUGGGACUAUUUAUUGAUGGGCCGGCAAAACAAUACUUAGCUUCCAUAGUCCACACUUGAUAAAGUUUACAAUACUCUUAAUAAUUGCACUUGCUGUGAUGUGCCGUAGAGUUCCUGGUUCUUACUUAUUUGUUUUUUUCCCCCCGUUUAGUGUGCAUUUUUGUAAAUAGAAGAUUAAGGAUACUAUGCUUCCCAGCAGAGUGUUGGAGAGAUUUUGUACAUACAGAGAACUCCAACACACUAAAUAAGUUUACCCAAGUAAUCAUUAAAUAUUAUUAUAACUUCCCAAUAUGCUGAAGUGCAGGAUAUUUGGGACUCAAUACAGAAUAAUGAAUAUUUUUCUUUUGAAGGACUGGGGGAUGUCUUCAAGCAGGUCAUUUGUCAUGACUCUACAUUUUUCUUAUAAUUUGUCAAACAAAUGUUUGAGCUAGAUCUUUUGAUUCUGCACAGCUACGGAUUUACAAGACCCCUGAUAUAGAAACACCAAAGUACCUUAUCCUGAAAAGGACGGCAAACUAUGAGGUAUUAACUUUAGGAAUUCAUUUUAUAUCUGUUCUGAAGUAACAGCACUGCCAUAUUCUCAUGAUCCAUGCUUCAUAUGAAUUAACCAUACUGAUAAGUAUCCGAAUUAUUUUACUUGAUUUUUGCCAGUGUAUAAUCUUUGCUAAUGUGAUCUCUAUAGUAGUCAGAACUCAGAACAUCUAAUUUAUAGCUGUUACUUCUCUGCAGAAUGUUUAAGAUGAAAUCAUGAACAUAAAUUCUUUUUUGCAGAUUAGGAGUUAUCCACCAUUCUUAAUAGUUGAAGCAAAAGGAGAUAAACUAACCGGAUCAUCAGGUUUUAAUAAUGUAACUGGGUGAGUUAUUUUUCUGUUACAGUAGAUAUUUAACCCUGUAAUCCUAGUACUGAUUACUUAUAAGCGCUUGUAAAUGUAGGUAUAUUUUUGGCAAGAAUGCUUCUUCAGAAACGAUUGCAAUGACUACACCUGUCUUCACUCAGGCUUCUGAUGACAAACUCUCAGAUGUAUCCAUCCAGAUAGUUUUGCCGAUGAACAAAGACUUGGACAGGUCUAUCUUGUGCAAUGCAGGAUUUCAGUUACUGACAGUGCGGUUUAAAGCAUUGAUUUUGGACAGCUGUGCAAAAUUAAACUAAAAGUAGUCUUAUGGAUUUAUUUCUAUUACUAAUAGUAGUAAUCUUGUUCAAUCAGCUUACCAGCUCCAAACACGGAAGCUGUCAACUUGCGAAAGGUAGAAGGUGGCAUUGCUGCAGUGAAAAAAUUCAGUGGGAGACCAAAAGAGGAAAUUGUGAUCCAGAAAGAAAAGGAGCUGCGCUCCCAAUUACUCAAAGAUGUGUUGAAGCCUCAACAUGGUUGUUUGCUUGCACGCUACAAUGAUCCUAGAACACAGAGCUUUAUAAUGGUAUGUUUCCUUUUGGGCUGUCCCUUAUUGUUUAAGCUGACAUGUGAUUUUUUUGAUGUACUUCACUAUAAUGAUCCUAAGACUAACUAAUGAGGUUUAUUUUAUGAUUAAGUGUUGGAAAGUUGAUAUUUUAUCAUCAUGCUUCCUUUCCCAAAAUUCCAGUUCAUUCUUUUUUCAGUUUUACAUUUCCAGUUCCUUUUUUUCAGUUUUACAUUCAUUGUUAUCUUUUUUAAUUCGGAAACUCUCUUAUGUUCUUCCUUAUCAAAAGAGGAAUGAGGUGCUGAUAUGGUUAAACGACUUCACGCUGGAGUAGUAGUCUUCACUGUCUACAACACAUUUCUGCAACAUAUAGACACUUAGCAUUGGAGCUUUCGGAGCAUCAUAGCAAGGUAAAGUAAUUGUUCAUAAAGCAUUUUGCGUGGUUUGGUAGUAUUUUAAAGCUGCAUGUUAUUUCCUCUAAAAAAGCUUUGUAUUCUACAUGUAAAAAAAAUGUAGAAACAAUUUAUGUAUCUAAAUGUAUCGUGCAACUUAGUUAUUCCCAUAGAUCCGUCAUGCCUUUUGUCAUCCAUGUUUUAAUUUUUUGCAUUAUGCUCACUUAGCUUUUGCAUUAUGCAGGUGAAAAAAAUUAGGAAGAUGCAUGGAUGAAAUGAUAGGAGAAUGUAAAUACCGAAAAGGUCACUAUAUUACAUGGUAAUUCUAGUCCAUAUGAAAAAUGUUUGUGUAUAACAAAAGUGAAAUGAACAAAAUGAAACUGUUUAGAACAAAAGGAAUAACCCCCACCUAGCCACCCUCAUUCCCAGUGACAUGCCUGGCUGUAACACGUCUCUUCUGUCUUUCUUCCUCUUCCCCACAUCUCCAAGUAACAUAAGAUGAUAAGAACAUACAGAAUAGGCCAGGGUUUGAAGAUCCGUCAGUUAAGAUCCUUACUAGGAUUCUUUCAUGUCACACCAAGUGACCAAACAACACAUCUUAAAGCAUUGCCUCCAACUUUGACCCCCCCCCCUUUUUUUUUGCGGGGACAACUUUGACACCCUUUGUUGGAACAACCGGUUACUUCAGACCACUUGGGUUAGUGUUGAGUUGGAGUACUUCGAACUAUCUAUGGAGUAUUAGGAGUUAAAAUUUGGAUAUUCGUAGACGAAGAAUAACCAACCCUGUCUUCCCAUUCUGUUCAGUAAUAGAAUAAAAAAUGACAAGAGCCUUAUUUUCCCUAAAAUCCCUGAAAAAAAGAAGAAAUUCUACCUCUUUCUAUAAGAUUUAAUGAAAAUUGAGAAAUCUUUUAAUAAAAUUGCUAUGCUUAGUGUGUGACUCGUUAGUUUUUUUUAGGGUUCAAAAAGGGGAUAAAAAAAAUAGAAUGAACCCUACUAUGUAAUUAUAGAAAAUGAACUAAUAACCAACCUAUUGCUUCGUAUUGUUGAGAUCCUAACUAAGAAACAGUCACUAUAUGAAUAAAUACAUCUAUCAUAAAUGAGUAAAUCUAUCAUAUACGUGUAGCAACUGCAAUUUUUUCUUUAAAAAAAUAGGAUUCUAAGUUGUGAAGCAAAACUAAAGGGGAUGUAGAUAAAAGGAAGGAUGAUAGAAAGAAGGAAGAGAAAUAAGAAAGAUAUAGGAUUCCAAUAUGUAUGGUCUAUGAAUUACAUCAUAAAAAGCAAUGUGAUAAAGCAUCAAUAUAAUAAAAAUAACAGAGAAUUCGAAAUCGUAAUUUGAUUGAAACGAGAAAUACAAAUUUCAAGGAAUAACAAAGAGCGUCCCGAGUUAAUAAAAGUGAGAAAUUGACUCGGAAAGAAAUUUUUUGGAAGCUCCAUUGCGAGAUUCAAACCUAACCAUUAAAGGAGAAGCAGUGGGAACGACAGAACCUAUUACUGGAUAGGAUUUUCUUGAAAAGAAUCCCAAUACUUCAUUGGGUGGGAUGGCGGAACAAACCAAAAAAAUUGUCUUAUUCGAUAAGGUUAUGAAUUAACAAAUAAGACAGGAAAGAGUAAAUAUUCGCCCGCGAAAUUUUUAUUGAAUUAGAAUACUUUACCGCGAUUCAAUAAGAGUAAAAUAAAAAAAAGGAGAUAAAAAAAAGAAUUACAUUAAAUAUAGAAUAUAGAUAAAUAAACAUACACAUCUAGAUAUAUUCUAGAUCCUCUUUCUUGACUAUAUAUUUUAGUAUUUUAAUAAAUUCAAUAUUAAAAACCCUAACCUUUCCUAUUAAUGUGUAUCUAUCCGUAAUAUUUUAGAAUAUUGUGGAAUUAGAGAAAUUUGCACACAUUUGAUUCGCGAGGAGCUGGAUGAGAAGAAACUCUCAUGUCCAGUUUUGCAGUAGAGAUGGAACUAAGAGAGAACCAUCGACUAAAACCCCAAAAGAACCAGAUUUCGUAAACAACAUAGAGGAAGAAUGAAGGGAAAAUCCUACCGAGGCAAUUGUAUUUGUUUUGGUAGAUAUGCUCUUCAAGCACUUGAACCCACUUGGAUUACGGCGAGGCAGAUAGAAGCAGGACGAAGAGCAAUGACACGAUAUGCACGUCGUGGUGGAAAAAUCUGGGUACGUAUAUUUCCCGACAAACCGGUUACAAUAAGACCGACCGAAACACGUAUGGGUUCGGGAAAGGGAUCCCCCGAAUAUUGGGUAGCCGUUGUUAAACCAGGUCGAAUACUUUAUGAAAUGGGCGGAGUAUCCGAAACUGUAGCUAGAGCAGCUAUUUCCAUAGCUGCCAGCAAAAUGCCCAUACGAAGUCAAUUUCUUCGGUUAGAAAUAUAACCCCCCCAAAAAAGUAGUAUUGAAAAUAAAAAACCAGGUUCUUCUUUCUGGAAAGACAAUAUUUCUUUCAUCCUUUUGCAUUGAAAUAACAAAUUGAAAUCAAAAUAAUAUGAUUCAACCUCAGACCCUUUUAAAUGUAGCAGAUAACAGUGGAGCUCGAAAAUUGAUGUGUAUUCGAGUCAUAGGAGCUGCUAGUAAUCAGCGAUAUGCUCGUAUUGGUGAUGUUAUUGUUGCUGUAAUCAAAGACGCAGUGCCCCAAAUGCCUCUAGAAAGAUCCGAAGUAAUUCGAGCUGUAAUUGUACGUACAUGUAAAGAGUUCAAAUGCGAAGACGGUAUAAUAAUACGCUAUGACGACAAUGCAGCGGUUAUCAUUGAUCAAAAAGGAAAUCCAAAAGGAACUCACGUUUUUGGCACGAUCGCCGAGGAAUUGAGAGAAUUGAAUUUUACUAAAAUAGUUUCAUUAGCUCCUGAAGUAUUAUAAAUACUAGUAGACAAGAUAUAGAUCAAAUAAAAAAUUAGUAGAUUGUGUUUCACGUAUAUGCUUUAGAAUCCAAAACGAAAAGAAAAAAGAGAACAUGUUGAUUAUAGAAAAAUUAGGAGGAACCUAGAAUUAGAGUCUUAUGGGCAAGGACACUAUUGCUGAUUUACUAACCUCUAUAAGAAACGCGGACAUGAAUAAAAAAGGAACUGUUCGGGUAGUAUCUACAAAUAUUACCAAAAACAUUGUUAAAAUACUUCUACGAGAGGGUUUUAUUGAAAGUGUUCGGAAACAUCAGGAAAGUAAUAGAUAUUUCUUGGUUUCAACUUUGCGACAUCAAAAGAGAAAGACUAGAAAGGGAAUAUAUAGAACUAGAACCUUUUUAAAGCGUAUCAGCCGACCUAGCUUACGAAUUUAUGCCAACUAUCAAGGAAUUCCUAAGGUUUUGGGCGGAAUGGGAAUUGCUAUUCUUUCUACUUCUCGAGGUAUAAUGACAGAUCGAGAAGCUCGACUAAACAGAAUUGGGGGAGAAGUUUUAUGUUAUAUAUGGUAAUCGCCCCGCCUAUAGCGGUAAUCGCCCCACCUAUAGUUAUAGUACCCAAAUUCUAUCUUGAACUUCCUAUUUUUCAAACAAAAAUACAACGUUUUUUAUUUGAAAAUAAAAAAAGAAAAAUAGGAGAAAAAAAUAUGACAGAAAAGAAAAAUAGGAGAGAAAAAAAAACCCGAGAGAAGCAAAAAUUACUUUCGAGGGUUUAGUUAUGGAAGCCCUACCCAACGGA
Molecule: long non-coding RNA, 21618 nt
Filed under: Oryza sativa (Asian cultivated rice)
Lineage: Eukaryota; Viridiplantae; Streptophyta; Magnoliopsida; Poales; Poaceae
Source: RNAcentral